CACCGCGGUUAGACGAGAGGCCCAAGUGGAUAGACAACGGCGUAAAGGGUGGUUAGGGGUCACAACAAACUAAAGCUGAAUGCUCUCAAGACUGUUAUAUGCGUUCGAGACUUUGAAACCCAACUACGAAAGUGGCUUUACUAGACCUGAACCCACGAAAGCUAAGGAA
This 169-nucleotide ribosomal RNA is filed under the name Scophthalmus maximus (turbot). Its description in RNAcentral is "partial 12S rRNA". The record is from RNAcentral. Lineage: Eukaryota; Metazoa; Chordata; Actinopteri; Pleuronectiformes; Scophthalmidae.